UCGAAUUGAUGUUUCUUUACCGUCAAAAUUAGCUACGUUAUCGAUAAACUUAAUGAGGUAGUGACCAAACUAUUGGUACACUAACGUUAAAAAGAUUGACAAUGCUGACAAACUUUCAUGUGUCGAUAUUUAUGUUUUAUACCGAUAAUAUUGAAAAUAAUUGUAAUAAUAUUAAACAAAAUAUGUCCAUGCACCAUUUCGAUUGGGCGAAAAGUAGUCGUUUCUUCAAAGUCAGAACAGAAAAAAAAAGAUGUAUAGACGGACGUCUUGAUAGUAUUUGUCUAUAUGUUACACAAAGCUGGUUCUUUAAUAAACGUUUGUAUCAGGG
This 328-nucleotide long non-coding RNA is filed under the name Mytilus galloprovincialis (Mediterranean mussel). Lineage: Eukaryota; Metazoa; Mollusca; Bivalvia; Mytilida; Mytilidae. The record is from RNAcentral.